Molecule: long non-coding RNA, 2473 nt
Organism: Oreochromis niloticus (Nile tilapia)
Lineage: Eukaryota; Metazoa; Chordata; Actinopteri; Cichliformes; Cichlidae
Exons: 2
Source: RefSeq, a predicted model, not a curated record
GCCUGUUAAGGGAUUUUGUGAUUUUAUGAUGUUUUUCCUUUUUGAUACAUCUUCCUUUUUAAUGUUUCAUUUACUCAGUUCUCCUUAUAAUGCUCCAUUUACUCAUUUACUCAUAUGCUCCUGUUAAGAAAGGCUUGGAAAGCACAUAGUGUUCACAUAUCUUUAUGUUUUGUCUUUGCUUCUUCUCACACACAUACACAUAGUGUUCACAUAUCUUUAUGUUUUGUCUUUGCUUCUUCUCACACACAUACACAUGAGCCCCGCAGUAUUCGCUGACUCCUGUGAAAGUCUCUUGCAGACACCCUUGGAAACAGGACCCAACUGGCUUCUGUUUUCCUCGAGAUAGACAAUACACUCACACACACACACACACACACUGUGUCCUAUACAUGCCCAGAUUGUCUGUUAAAGCCUGAAAAAACAGGGAAUGUUGCGAUGUAUAAAUAAAGCUGACUGCAAAGCCUCGGUGUGGGUAUCGCCCGAUCACUCACCCGUGCGCACGUAGUUCUCUGAACAAAACUCUGACUGUUUCUGUAUUCUUUCAAUGUUUAAAAAUGUCUUGCCACUGACAUUUAAUUGGUCCUUCGAGCCGGAUAGUUUAUUGAUAUUAUUGUAUCAUCUAACUAUUCACAGACGGAGCCACCAGAUCCUGACGUCGUGACUACCUGCACUGCAACCACCGUUUCUAGCGAAGCGAGGAAAAGCCCAGAGUCGUACAUUCGCCUACUGGCCAGUGUCUUAUACAGGUCCACGACGCCAGGUUCUCGGUGACGCCGGGAAAAAGAACACAGCGCAACAUUGAAGGCUGCUUUGCUGGCCCUGAAAGCCGAGGCUGACCUGGACUCCUGCUCUCCCCUGUACCACCUUCGACGUGACCCUGACCAAAUGCUGCAGCAGCUGGACUUACAAAAACAAUUUCCUGCAAAUGUCAACAGGGCUGCAGAAAAGCGAUCUUAUGCAGCGGAGACGGAGAGCGUUAAAACCAAGGCCCGUUUCACUACACGGGGGAAAAUUCCCAGACAGCUUCAGCUGACAGAGCUGUGACGAGACGCCUGCCAAGCCGACAACUUAUGACAAGUAAGGCCGAGCAAAAGAAUGCUGACCUUAACAAUUCUGCAUUAACACUGUGCAGGACAGGGAUGGACCAACACGGCAGCAAAAAGGGCGUGCCAGAGACAGGAGGAGCAACUGAGGUCGAAUGGACAAAACACAGAAGAAGAUGCAGUUUUCACCUGCGGUGAGCAUGGACACUGGAGAAAAGGACUGUCCCAAUUGGGGCCAGAACCAGGACAAACUGAACUUUGAACAGCAGCAAUGGUGGCAAGCGGACUGAAAAGGAGGAGGGCAGGACCCCAGGGCACGCUUCAGGCUGUGGUUUACCCAGAACACCAGAACAGGAAAGUGAUGAACACACACACAUCUACAUACACCGAUUCAGAAUGAAGUGAAACACACACAUGAACACAUGUGCACUCGUUGAUAGAGGGAGAAAUGGCACACACACACGCUUAUGCAAUGAAGAAUGCUUUGCUCGCAAAUGCUUAUGCUGAUAUGCAAAAUGCUGCACACAAACAUCCCAAUACAUAAUUUUUAUGAGAAGCAAUUGAUUACUUAAAAUGUGUUUUAUGUCACCCAGAGGAUAUUUAUGUAGAUUUAAGGAACAAGGUCUAAAAUUGUCUGGUUAUGAAAACAAUGUCUGUGCGUGAGGUCUGUUUAUGGCUCAAGGUCUUGAUUGAAUUGUCUAUUGUGCUACACACUUCGUAAAUGAAGUAAUAUCAAAAGUCUCUGAAGCACUGGGCUUCAGUAUAAAACAUCACUUCUCAUAUCCCCCGCAGAGUACCUAUUACAAGUGAACCGAUAGACAAAUCCAUAAGAGAAACAACACUAGCAGAAUGGAUGACAAAACUGUUAGAAAAUAAAGAAAUAGUUUUGAACAAUCAACUGCCAGAUGAUUCUCUUCCAGUCUCUUCCAGGUUGAAACCAGGAGAUUGGAUCCUGAUAAAAGUGCUCCAGAGGAAAAAGUGGCAUUCCCCGAGGUGGGAAGGACCCUACCAACAGCCUGCAAAAUUGCUGAACGACCUUCCGGGAUUCAUCAGAGCCACUGUAAACAAGUGAGUGACAGCCCAUAGACACUGAGACGCCAGCACCCCUGCCUGUUAGUGAUCUGGGAGGUGGAGAGAGGGCUGUUUGGGUAAAUCCCGCCCUUGUUCUUCUCGCCCCUAGUCUACUCACUCACAGGACCAGGUGUGUUCGGUCAUCAUGAAGACCCUACUCGUUCUGGUGGCCAGUGUCACAAUUCUGUUGGGACUGCUGUCGCUGAUUUCAGAAGAAGAAGGACAAGAUUGACACAUGACGCAAUACAUCCAGACGACAUGACACAAGAUCACAACCACCCAUGGAUGAACAAUGCCUGGUACCGUUAUGUGUACAACUCCACAAGAGACAGAAACUAUUACAUCUGUUCGCACAUGCC